CGGGACGGGUGAGUAUCGCGUAGGGAUUUGUCGUUGGGUGGGGGGAUAACCUUGGGAAACUGGGGCUAAUACCGCAUGACGCCUGUGGGCCAAAGGCUGCAAGGCCGCCUGAUGAGGGAGCCUGGCGUCCGAUUAGCUAGUUGGUGGGGUAAAGGCUUACCAAGGCUGCGAUCGGUAGCUGGUCUGAGAGGAUGAUCAGCCACACUGGGACUGAGACACGGCCCAG
RNAcentral lists this ribosomal RNA (226 nucleotides) under uncultured bacterium. RNAcentral's name for it is "partial 16S ribosomal RNA". It matches the Rfam family "Bacterial small subunit ribosomal RNA", at positions 100 to 334 of the family's 1533-position model. The record is from RNAcentral.